RNAcentral lists this ribosomal RNA (497 nucleotides) under uncultured bacterium. RNAcentral describes it as "partial 16S ribosomal RNA". It matches the Rfam family "Bacterial small subunit ribosomal RNA", at positions 28 to 507 of the family's 1533-position model. The record is from RNAcentral.
GAUGAACGCUGGCGGCGUGCCUAAUACAUGCAAGUCGAGCGAACGGACGAGAAGCUUGCUUCUCUGAUGUUAGCGGCGGACGGGUGAGUAACACGUGGAUAACCUACCUAUAAGACUGGGAUAACUUCGGGAAACCGGAGCUAAUACCGGAUAAUAUUUUGAACCGCAUGGUUCAAAAGUGAAAGACGGUCUUGCUGUCACUUAUCGAUGGAUCCGAGCUGCAUUAGCUAGUUGGUAAGGUAACGGCUUACCAAGGCAACGAUGCAUAGCCGACCUGAGAGGGUGAUCGGCCACACUGGAACUGAGACACGGUCCAGACUCCUACGGGAGGCAGCAGUAGGGAAUCUUCCGCAAUGGGCGAAAGCCUGACGGAGCAACGCCGCGUGAGUGAUGAAGGUCUUCGGAUCGUAAAACUCUGUUAUUAGGGAAGAACAUAUGUGUAAGUAACUGUGCACAUCUUGACGGUACCUAAUCAGAAAGCCACGGCUAACUACGUG